ACGUAGGUGGCAAGCGUUGUCCGGAUUUAUUGGGCGUAAAGAGCGCGCAGGCGGUCCGUCAAGUCCGGGGUGAAAUCUCCCGGCUCAACUGGGAGGGGUCUUCGGAUACUGCCGGACUCGAGGAGAGCAGAGGUGAGUGGAAUUCUGGGUGUAGUGGUGAAAUGCGUAGAUAUCCAGAGGAACACCAGCGGCGAAGGCGGCUCACUGGGCUCCACCUGACGCUGAGGCGCGAAAGCGUGGGGAGCGAACCGGAUUAGAUACCCGGGUAGUCCACGCUGUAAACGAUGGGCACUAGGUGUGGGGGGUAUUGACCCCCUCCGUGCCGAAGCUAACGCAAUAAGUGCCCCGCCUGGGGAGUACGGCCGCAAGGCUA
RNAcentral lists this ribosomal RNA (373 nucleotides) under uncultured bacterium. Its description in RNAcentral is "bacterial SSU rRNA". It matches the Rfam family "Bacterial small subunit ribosomal RNA", at positions 525 to 896 of the family's 1533-position model. The record is from RNAcentral.